This 68-nucleotide transfer RNA is filed under the name Marmota monax (woodchuck). RNAcentral describes it as "tRNA.Ala". Lineage: Eukaryota; Metazoa; Chordata; Mammalia; Rodentia; Sciuridae. The record is from RNAcentral.
GGAUUGUGGCUCAGCGGUAGAGCGCCCGCCUAGCACAUGCGAGGCCCUGGGUUCGAUCCUCAGCACCA